GAUCCUGGCUCAGGACGAACGCUGGCGGCGCGCCUAACACAUGCAAGUCGAACGAGCGAGAGAGAGUUUGCUUUCUCGAGCGAGUGGCGAACGGGUGAGUAACGCGUGAGGAACCCGCCUCAAAGAGGGGGACAACAGUUGGAAACGACUGCUAAUACCGCAUAAGCCCACGACCCGGCAUCGGGUAGAGGGAAAAGGAGCAAUCCGCUUUGAGAUGGCCUCGCGUCCGAUUAGCUAGUUGGUGAGG
Molecule: ribosomal RNA, 247 nt
Filed under: uncultured bacterium
Lineage: Bacteria
Description: partial 16S ribosomal RNA
Rfam family: Bacterial small subunit ribosomal RNA
Source: RNAcentral